UUAUUUUUAUUUUUAUUUAUGCUAUUGCUCCUGAUACAGUGAAAAUAUCUCUAUAUUUCACUAUAAUGUAUCAAAUCAGUCUAACUAGGAUCAACAAGUACCCCAGCAAGGUCAUUCGCAAGGACUUGUCCAAGAAGACGGCGAAGAAGUCAUGCUUCAAGGCCUUCGUCAAGCUUGUCAACUACUAGCAUCUGAUGCCCAAGCGCAACACCCUCGACAUGGUUCUCAAGGAGAUUGUCUCCAUCGAGUCCCUCCAGUUCAGGGACAAGAAGGUCACAGCUGCCAAGGAAACCAAGAAGAGGCUUGAGGAGCGCUUCAAGUUUGGGAAGAAUAGGUGGUUCUUUACCAAGCUCAGGUUCUGAAUUGGAUCGACAUCGUUUAAUGUGUUUUGGGAGAGCUGGUUUUCUCCUACGUUUUACCGUCAUAGAUGAUGAUUUUGAGGACACAGAGCUGGAAGGCCAGGAGUAAAUCUAGUGCAAGGACGUAGUUUUCUUUUAUGUUAUUUGAAUAAAAAUUCACAUGUAGGUUUAGUUUAUGUUUUUACUUUACGUUUUUAGUUUCAUGUUUUAAAAAUAGUUAUGUUUAGUUUAGUUAUGUUUUCAAUAAAAAAGGUAUUUCAAAAUAUGAAUCUCUUUACUGGACAUUAUGCUAGAAAUGUUAGUAAUAUCUCUAUCCUACGGGAAUGGGGUGUUACAUUGGUUCACAUGCUUGUGUUGUGUUUUAAAUUUUUCUAUCUAGUUAUUUAAAUUUAGGACAAAAUUUACAUUUCUUUUGUUAAGUUUUGUAGUUUGAAUGUGAAAUCCUUAAGUUAAGGGUAAAAUUAUCAUUUUCCCACAAAUAAGAGGUAAAAUGAUAAUUUUACUGUAAGUCAGUAUUUUUAUAUUUCUAAACUUGUUAAUGAUGAGUUUUUAAUGUUUAAAAAUAUCUUCUUACAAUUUCUGUUAAUUUGCUCAUUUAAUUCGUUACGCUAUGCUUACUAUAAGUUUGUUUCUAACUUACUGUCAGAAUAUUGUGUAUGUGUCUUGGUAAAAGAACAACUAUUCAUGCUCUUAAUCUCUUAUGCAUGUCACAUUAUGCUAUCUCACAAAAUAUUUAUAUGUUACAUAUUAUGUUAUAUCAUGAAAUGUUUAUCUAUUACAAAUUAUGCAAUGUCAUGAAAUGUUUAUUUGUUACAUAAAUCUUAUCUAUUACAUGAUAUGCUAUGUUACAAAAUGUUUAUCUAUUUCAUGUUUGCCAUGUCAUACUUCACACGUAAAUGUCACGUCACAUUGUUUCAUGUCAUCUAUCAUUUCGUUUCACGUCACGUCAUGUCACGAGUUUGGAGUUCGUCACGAAAAAUAGUAUUUUCAAGUCAGUUGAAUCUUUUAUGUUUAUCACGAUCCCAAGUGUUAGAAUGUUGUAAUAUCCUAAUGGAACUCCAUUGUUCAUGUAGGAGUGUCUAAACUGGUGUGAAAUUCUCUAGGUUGACAAAGUAUCGUCAACAGGCUUCAAAUGAACACUAUUUCAUCCAACCAUUAAUUUUUCUGCCAAACUAAAGAGGGUUUCAACUCCAGUGAAACCUAAAAUAUUUGGAAUCAAAUUAAAAGCCCAAAUACCUUCUAAAAACUGAAACCCUAUAUGGUUUCCCAAACCUUAAAUGAAGCCGGUUUUAGCUUAGUAUUUAAUUACUUGAUUAAAUUAUUUUCACAUGUUGUUAACUAUUCUAAUUCAUGUCAUUACAUCCUUAUUCAUUCUUUUAUACCAUAGUAUUUUCAUUGGACCAAAAAAAAAACAAAAAAGGAUUUGGACUUGAUAUAAAUCGAAACCCAAAAUCAAAUCCUAUUGAAACUCCAAAUGAGGUCCAAUCGGUUUAGGCCGAUUAAGGCCAACUGAAUUGCACCAUUUAUGCAUGGCUUCUUGGAAAAAUUUCUCUACUACCAUGACUGUAAUUCUACUAUCAUGUUAGUUCCAAAUAGUGGUUGAUAGGAAGGCAAAAAGUUACCUCACCACCACCCCAUCACAUGGCAGCGUCAAGAUCACUCUCACAUCCCCUCUUAACCUCUCAACCAAUAUGUGAGUUGUCCAUGGCUUGUCCCUUAGGUUUUUUUUUUUUUUUUUUUUUUUUUUUUUUUUUUUUUCACUUUUGAAACACUUUCUUAGAGAGAACUCAAGGAAGAUCUUCAGACAACUUUUUUGGCCUUUCUUGCUCGAAUAUUUCAAAACCUGUGUAAGUAGAUUCUCACGAAACUCUUGGAUUUUUUGUUGUUGUUGUUAUUGUGAAAGCAUGCUCCUAUGCUCUUGAUAUUCACAUAUAUUGUUCUUAGGACUUUGAUAUAUGUUUUAGGAAGUUAUUUUGAAGAUUUAUGGUUGUGAUCUUGAGGGAGUGAAUUUUUAUGCAUGUUGAGGUCCGGUUGAAAUACAAACUUGAGGCUCAUGAGUUGUGUUGUGUUUCUAUACAAUUUUUGCUAUGUGAUCUUGAGUUUAAUGCUUAUAUCAUUUUUAGAACUUGAAUGUGAAGCAUAUGAAGUUGUUUAUUGAUGGUUUACUUUAAGGAAAAUUUAGAUCUAGUGGUUUAAUAAAAAAGACCAAAACAUGUGGUACUCGAUUUUGGAGAAAAUGUGCAAGCCAAUUGUAUUGGUUGACAUUUUGAGAUUUUUGUGAUAUUUGACUUGUUUGUUCAAGCAUUCUAUUUCUUAGGAUUGAUUGAUUUAUGAUCAUAUUGAGAAUAUGUUUUUAGUAGGAGGAUUUCACGUGUUAACUUGGGUUGAGAGAUUCCCUAUAUUGAUUGGGAGGAAUGGUUCCCCGUACUCAAUAGUAUCUAUGAUGAUUCAUGAUUACCUUAUUUUGUUUGGAAGGUGAUUCCUCACUAUACUUAUAAUGUAUGUGAUUUGAGCCUUCAUUUACAUUAAUCUUGUGCAUUCAUAUUCAUUUUCAUUGUCUUGUAUUUAUAGUGUUGUCAUGAGUUUAUAACUAAUUGAUAUUUCAUUAAAAUCUCAUUGUGGUAGUCCUACUACAGUUGUCUCUCAAAAUUGUAGAUUUUGAAGCAAAUGUUGCUAUGAAGGGUUACCUCGCGAAGAAGGACUAGUGCAGCUUGGGGAAUAGUAUGAGUUGGGCAAAUAACAAAUGAUCAUUUGUAAUUAUAUUUUGGAUGAGAUGGUAGUGACUUAUGGAAAUUUUUAUUAAUGGACAAGAAAUGGACAAAUUCAUUGAUACUAUGAAUAUUAGUUUAUGGCUAAUAUCUUUUACUAUAUUCCGUUGCGACUUUGUUACACAUGUGCUUGCAUAUGAGCGCACAAGAUUCACACAGCAUAAGGGAUGUAGCAAUUCGGCAUGCAUCCUGGGCACUACGGUUCCUCGCCAAACCACAAUUGGGGCCACAUCUACCACAUGGGUAAAACAUGUUAUCUGUUAUGAUGUUGUUCAGUGAUGUUUAUGCCAAAAGAUUUUUGUAUAUCAUAUUUUUGUAAAUAAAUGUUUCUAAAAUGCCGCUUUAUAACUUUGA
Molecule: long non-coding RNA, 3481 nt
Organism: Carya illinoinensis
Lineage: Eukaryota; Viridiplantae; Streptophyta; Magnoliopsida; Fagales; Juglandaceae
Exons: 2
Source: RefSeq, a predicted model, not a curated record